ACGUGAACAUUAUCCGAUUUUCCCACAAUUGCUUCAACAAGUGGUACUCUGAGAAAUUCGUAAAGGUCAGUGGGAUAAAGAGGAAUGCGUUUCCGAGUGGCAAAAGUACAGAGAUUGUCUCUCAGAACAUCUGGAUAACAAACAUCUUAGUCAGUUCUUGGAAGCUGAAGCUGCUUUUGGUUCCAUUAUUCAAGAGAGCAGGGAAAACCCAGUUCAGAAUACUGCUAAAUAGUGUCGAAACAGGUGAAGAAGCUAAGCCGUUCCUUUUGUUUGCAUUGUUGUUAUUUGGAAUUUGAUUUUCUUAUGUUCAAGAUACAUUGGGAUUUACCUAGCUGAUACUGUAGGAGAUUGAGUCAUAUUGUUUUUUAGGGUUUUUUACCGCUAGAACAUGGAUGUAAUCUGGAUAUAAUCAUUAGAUCAACUAUUUGUAUUGUAUAUGUAAUCUGAAUAGAAAAGCAUGCAACUUGUUUUGAUCCUUACCACCUUAAACCGAUUCGUUAUUCAUGUGGGUUUAUAUCAUGGAAUGCUUUACGAAUCAUGCUAUGGUCAUUGGUACAUUUGUUCCGUGAACUGAGCAUUAUGGACUACAUUUUAGUAGCAGUCAAAUAUUGCUUCUUGUGACCUCCUGCUACACCGUGUUGUUCCGAAACUGACGGAGUUCGAUUUUACAUUUUGUGGACAAGCACUU
This is a long non-coding RNA of Hibiscus syriacus, 688 nucleotides long. RefSeq lists it as uncharacterized. The transcript has 3 exons. The record is from RefSeq and is a predicted model, not a curated record. Lineage: Eukaryota; Viridiplantae; Streptophyta; Magnoliopsida; Malvales; Malvaceae.